This 349-nucleotide ribosomal RNA is filed under the name uncultured bacterium. RNAcentral's name for it is "partial 16S ribosomal RNA". It matches the Rfam family "Bacterial small subunit ribosomal RNA", at positions 519 to 866 of the family's 1533-position model. The record is from RNAcentral.
GGUAAUACGAGGGGGGCAAGCGUUAUYCGGAAUUAUUGGGCGUAAAGGGCGCGUAGGYGGAUUGGUAAGUCAGAUGUGAAAUCCCCCGGCUYAACCGGGGAABUGCMUUUGAUACUGCCAUUCUUGAGUVCGGUAGAGGAAAGMGGAAUUCCUGGUGUAGCGGUGAAAUGCGUAGAUAUCAGGAGGAACACCRRUGGCGAAGGCGGCUUUCUGGGCCRAUACUGACGCUGAGGCGCGAAAGCGUGGGKAGCAAACAGGAUUAGAUACCCUGGUAGUCCACGCCGUAAACGAUGUGUACUAGGUGUUGGGGGUAUUGACCCCUUCAGUGCCGHAGCUAACGCGUUAAGUA